CACGGACCCGAAAUUAUACAUCAAAUCAACCAAAUUGCAGCGUUGCGUCCGGUCUUCCUUUCCCAACUCGGUCGACGCGUUCGCCACGGCUGCGCAGUCCUCCUCCUCGCCUCCGAUCCCCUCCCUUCGACGAUGCGAGCACACCCGCUCAUCCUCUUCGUACCUGCACCGCCACCUCAUCCUCUUCCUCGCCGCGCCGACACCCACCGCGCUCUCUCCCUCCCGCGGCGACGCCCUUCGCCAACGAGAACCGCACGCCGUCGUCUCCCACGGGCACUGUCGCACGCUGGGCCACGCUGCAGUCGGUGGCGCCGCCACACCUUCUUCCUCCAUGUGCCGUCGCCGCCCUAUUCUUCUUCGAGAUGCAGCCGCUAGCGCUGCCCUCCUCCCAGCUCCCCUUCAUGGCCGCGUGCAGGGACUAUGUGCCAGUGUUAGUUUUUGGUACCAGUCUACAGGUCUUUCAUUUCUACAUUCAAAGAAAACUUUACAUGGUACCGGAACCGGGACCAGCGGCGACGGUGUAGUGGUGAGGAGGCAGAGGAGUGCCUUCGGCCUCGACGGAAGAAGGCCGCCGAUGGAGAAGAAGACCAGCUGGGAGCGUGGCGCGGCGUCGCGGUCGUGCACGAGGAGGAGGAGCCUGCACUUGCCGGAGGGAGAAGAAGCAUGUAGCACGGUGCGGUGCUGCAGUCGUGCGUGAGAGUUGAGACCACAAUCCUUAUGAAAAGUUACACUUAAUACAAGAUUAGACCAUCCCUGCACAUCUGCCUAUCUGCCUGGCAAAAUAUUAUCGUCGCUUCCAAGAUUGAGAAUAUGGCUGCGUUUGGAAAGCCUUAGAUUCUAGCAUUGGUGAUCGGUUGUGUGUACGUGUCUCCCGUCUGUGAAAAAUUUAUGAUCCCGAGGAUGAGUAUAAGCUUUUCCAUGCUCAUAUGGUCCUCAUCGACGAGGAGGCUGGCAGUGCUCAUGCUCAAAUAUACCCUCCACUCACUGACGUUUUCAAACCUCUGAUAAAGGAGGGCAAUGUCUACAAUGUCUCCUACAUUCAGAUCAAGAAAGCUAAUAGGAUGUACAAGCAUGUUGACAACGAUAUCAUGAUCGGUUUCACAAAAUGGAUCCUAUGCUGCCUCAACAAACCCGCGGUUUGAACACGUGACAGAUGACGGCUUAGCUUCUGUGGAUGGACAUCUUGGUCGCUUUUGUAGAUGGAAUGUUUGGUUGGCUUUUGUAGACAGAAUUAGGCUGCACUUGUGAUUGUGUAACGCUUAUGAGCAUGGUUGUGUGGACUGUGUCGGCCAAAGUAUACCUCCCAAUGCCUUGUAUAUAUCACAUGCUUAGCUGUCUAUCCCCAACUAGGUCGCCUGAUAAUAGACUUCGAUCAUGUCAUGCUAUUCUAUAACAAUUUUCGCUGUAACUUGCCUAAUCGUCAUACUAUGGUACACGCUUAAAUUUGGUGCUGCAACUUUAUUGUGGAUUAUGUUCAGUCUAUCUGUGUUUAGUUUGGUGUUUUGUUGGUGAUUCGAUCAUAC
RNAcentral lists this unclassified non-coding RNA (1523 nucleotides) under Zea mays. RNAcentral describes it as "misc RNA Zm00001eb022150". The record is from RNAcentral. Lineage: Eukaryota; Viridiplantae; Streptophyta; Magnoliopsida; Poales; Poaceae.